GUUAAUCAGGUGUUGUUAUGGCAUAUAGAUUUUUCGUGUCUGUGGAGUUAAUUAGUAGAUUAACGAUUAAUG
Molecule: transfer RNA, 72 nt
Filed under: Schistosoma mekongi
Lineage: Eukaryota; Metazoa; Platyhelminthes; Trematoda; Strigeidida; Schistosomatidae
Description: tRNA-Glu
Source: RNAcentral